RNAcentral lists this ribosomal RNA (305 nucleotides) under uncultured bacterium. Its description in RNAcentral is "bacterial SSU rRNA". It matches the Rfam family "Bacterial small subunit ribosomal RNA", at positions 333 to 636 of the family's 1533-position model. The record is from RNAcentral.
UGUGCCUACGGGGCGCAGCAGUGAGGAAUAUUGGUCAAUGGGCGGAAGCCUGAACCAGCCAAGUCGCGUGAGGGAAGAAGGCCCUGCGGGUCGCAGACCUCUUUGGACGGGGAGCAAGGCCGCCGACGUGUCGGCGGAAGGAGAGUACCCGUAGAACAAGCAUCGGCUAACUCCGUGCCAGCAGCCGCGGUAAUACGGAGGAUGCGAGCGUUAUCCGGAUUUAUUGGGUUUAAAGGGUGCGCAGGCGGGAGAUCAAGUCAGCGGUAAAAUGUCGGGGCUCAACCCCGGCCGGGCGUUGAAACUGG